Hibiscus syriacus is the source of this 476-nucleotide long non-coding RNA. RefSeq lists it as uncharacterized. The transcript is spliced from 6 exons. Lineage: Eukaryota; Viridiplantae; Streptophyta; Magnoliopsida; Malvales; Malvaceae. The record is from RefSeq and is a predicted model, not a curated record.
UUUUUAGCUUAUUUGGAUACUGGGGUAUGUAUCUUAUUGGUGUUCAGGUGAGCUACUACCUCUUCAUCGAAAAUCGUCCAACCAAGUAGAGAAGCAAGCAUGAAACGCAAUUCAGAGUCUGUCUUCUUACUAUUGUGUUUUGGAUUUUAACAUUGCUUAUAGACAGGCAUGUUGAAAGAAUUUCUCGUAGAAUGUGCAACCUUGCUUAUGUUACUUGGGUGGUGGCUCAAAAUCUACAGCUAUUAACAAUACGACUUCUUGCCGAUAACGUCGUUGGGAUUAAAGUUUUAGCUCUUGAAAGAGCAUUUGACCGUAAUUUAUUGGCUUCUUUUCUUGUGGCAAAUCUGCUGACGGGGCUGGUAAACUUAUCUGUGGAUACCAUAUUUGUGUCAUCAUCAUCGGGUGUUUUGAUCCUGGCUUCCUAUUCUUUGACUUGGUGUGUUGUCAUGGCGCUCCUAGAUUUUUCUGGCAUUAAG